Molecule: ribosomal RNA, 555 nt
Filed under: Novaculoides macrolepidotus
Lineage: Eukaryota; Metazoa; Chordata; Actinopteri; Labriformes; Labridae
Description: partial 16S ribosomal RNA
Rfam family: Bacterial large subunit ribosomal RNA
Source: RNAcentral
AAUGAGAGGUCACGCCUGCCCAGUGACUAAAUGUUUAACGGCCGCGGUAUUCUGACCGUGCAAAGGUAGCGCAAUCACUUGUCUUUUAAAUGAAGGCCCGUAUGAAUGGCAUAACGAGGGCUCAACUGUCUCCUUUUUCUAGUCAAUGAAAUUGAUCUCCCCGUGCAGAAGCGGGGCUAUUUACAUAAGACGAGAAGACCCUAUGGAGCUUCAGACACUGAGACAGAUUACGUUAAGCACUCUCAUUUAAGAGGUAAAACUAAAUAUUUCCCUGCUCUAAUGUCUUUGGUUGGGGCGACCUUGGGGACACAACAACCCCCCAAGUGGAAUGGAGACACCAUCUCCUGAACAAAGAGCAUCCGCUCUAAGUGGUAGAAAUUCUAACCUUUAAGAUCCGGCAGAGCCGAUCAACGGACCGAGUUACCCUAGGGAUAACAGCGCAAUCCCCUUUUAGAGCCCAUAUCGACAAGGGGGUUUACGACCUCGAUGUUGGAUCAGGACAUCCUAAUGGUGCAGCCGCUAUUAAGGGUUCGUUUGUUCAACGAUUAAAGUCCU